GAUUAGAUACCCUGGUAGUCCACGCCGUAAACGAUGUCUACUUGGAGGUUGUGCCCUUGAGGCGUGGCUUCCGGAGCUAACGCGUUAAGUAGACCGCCUGGGGAGUACGGCCGCAAGGUUAAAACUCAAAUGAAUUGACGGGGGCCCGCACAAGCGGUGGAGCAUGUGGUUUAAUUCGAUGCAACGCGAAGAACCUUACCUGGUCUUGACAUCCACAGAACUUUCCAGAGAUGGAUUGGUGCCUUCGGGAACUGUGAGACAGGUGCUGCAUGGCUGUCGUCAGCUCGUGUUGUGAAAUGUUGGGUUAAGUCCCGCAACGAGCGCAACCCUUAUCCUUUGUUGCCAGCGAUUAGGUCGGGAACUCAAAGGAGACUGCCAGUGAUAAACUGGAGGAAGGUGGGGAUGACGUCAAGUCAUCAUGGCCCUUACGACCAGGGCUACACACGUGCUACAAUGGCGCAUACAAAGAGAAGCGACCUCGCGAGAGCAAGCGGACCUCAUAAAGUGCGUCGUAGUCCGGAUUGGAGUCUGCAACUCGACUCCAUGAAGUCGGAAUCGCUAGUAAUCGUGGAUCAGAAUGCCACGGUGAAUACGUUCCCGGGCCUUGUACACACCGCCCGUCACACCAUGGGAGUGGGUUGCAAAAGAAGUAGGUAGCUUAACCUUCGGGAGGGCGCUUACCACUUUGUGAUUCAUGACUGGGGUGAAGUCGUAACAAGGUAACCGUAGGGGAACCUGCGGUUGGAUCACCUCCUUACCUUAAAGAAGC
RNAcentral lists this ribosomal RNA (769 nucleotides) under Salmonella enterica subsp. enterica. Its description in RNAcentral is "bacterial SSU rRNA". It matches the Rfam family "Bacterial small subunit ribosomal RNA", at positions 776 to 1533 of the family's 1533-position model. The record is from RNAcentral. Lineage: Bacteria; Pseudomonadati; Pseudomonadota; Gammaproteobacteria; Enterobacterales; Enterobacteriaceae.